Gossypium arboreum is the source of this 720-nucleotide RNA transcript. It is a transcript of the gene named L10-interacting MYB domain-containing protein-like, with no coding region annotated. The record is from RefSeq and is a predicted model, not a curated record. The transcript has 4 exons. Lineage: Eukaryota; Viridiplantae; Streptophyta; Magnoliopsida; Malvales; Malvaceae.
ACAAUUUUCAAAAAAUGUUUUCCUGGUUUUCCGAUGUUUGUUUGACUGAAAACAUUUUCCAAAUGGAAAAUGUUUUCCAAGAAACGGGUAAAAUGCCUUAUAUUUUAGGGAAAACAUCUUAUGGAUUUCAUUUCUGUAAGACAUUUUCCGAUUCCUCCUUCAUCCAGGCAAAUCUCAUUCUUCUUCGCUAGGUCUUGGCUAAGCUUUCAAGGUCAGGGAUUAAAUGGGUGAUUAACCUUUUUUUUUGGUUGAUCUUUCUUGGAUCCAAUUUUCUUGAGAAUGGGUAAGGGCAACAAAGAAGGGACCUCCAAGCAAUUCAGGUGGACAAAACCGAUGGAACAUCUUUUUCUUGAAAUUCUAACAGAGGAGGCCCAGAAAGGAAAUAAGCCUUCUAACACUUUCAAAGCAGUUUCUAUUAGUCGAGUUGCCGAAGCUAUUUCUGAAAGAUUUCAAGUCCAAUGCGAUGCAAAGCAUGUGAAAAAUCAUUCGAGGGUUUUAAAAAACCAAUGGCAAAUUAUAUGUACAAUUCUGGGUGAAAGUGGUUUUGGAUAGGAUGAUAACUUAAAAAUGAUCACAUGUGAUAGAGUGACGUAUGAUGCAGCAGUGGUGGUAAUAUAUGUAUAUAUAUGUUAAGUAUAUUUCAAUUGUUUUUACUUGUUAUUCUAAUUGUGUAUAAUAUCUAAUAGGCACACAAGAAGUAUGAACCAUUUUUGAAUAAAA